UUUCCGUAGGUGAACCUGCGGAAGGAUCAUUCAUAAUAAAGUGUUUUAUGGCACUUUUUAAAAAUCCAUAUCCACCUUGUGUGUAAUGUUAGAUCUCGUCAAUCUUGGCGAGAUUUUUAUACAUCAACUCAUUCUUUAACUAAUUUGUCUGAAAAAUAUUAUGAAUACUUAAUUCAAAGUACAACUUUCAACAACGGAUCUCUUGGCUCUC
This 211-nucleotide unclassified non-coding RNA is filed under the name plant metagenome. RNAcentral's name for it is "partial contains small subunit ribosomal RNA, internal transcribed spacer 1, and 5.8S ribosomal RNA". The record is from RNAcentral.